AGCCUUUCGAAUUCGUGUUGAGACUUCGUCAGACACCAACCCAUUUGUGCUGGUCAGACUUCCAAGAUAAGUGAAGUU
Molecule: microRNA precursor, 78 nt
Filed under: Schistosoma margrebowiei
Lineage: Eukaryota; Metazoa; Platyhelminthes; Trematoda; Strigeidida; Schistosomatidae
Description: mir-3492 microRNA precursor family
Rfam family: mir-3492 microRNA precursor family
Source: Rfam by way of RNAcentral